GCAGUCGAGGGGCAGCGGGGAGCAAGCUUGCUUGCUCUGCCGGCGACCGGCGCACGGGUGAGUAACACGUAUGCAACCUGCCCUCCGCAGGGGGAUAACCCGGAGAAAUCCGGACUAAUACCGCGUGGUACAUCUGUGGGGCAUCCCACGGGUGUUAAAAGGAAGCGAUUCCGGCGGAGGAUGGGCAUGCGGCGCAUUAGCUUGUUGGCGGGGUAACGGCCCACCAAGGCGACGAUGCGUAGGGGUUCUGAGAGGAAGGUCCCCCACACUGGUACUGAGACACGGACCAGACUCCUACGGGAGGCAGCAGUGAGGAAUAUUGGUCAAUGGGCGGGAGCCUGAACCAGCCAAGUCGCGUGAGGGAAGACGGUCCUAUGGAUUGUAAACCUCUUUAGGCGGGGAGCAAUGCCGGGCACGCGUGCCCGGAGGGAGAGUACCCGCAGAAUAAGCAUCGGCUAACUCCGUGCCAGCAGCCGCGGUAAUACGGAGGAUGCGAGCGUUAUCCGGAUUUAUUGGGUUUAAAGGGUGCGUAGGCGGAUUUUUAAGUCAGCGGUAAAAUGUCCGGGCUCAACCCGGGCCGGCCGUUGAAACUGGGGAUCUUGAGUGGGCGAGAAGUAUGCGGAAUGCGUGGUGUAGCGGUGAAAUGCAUAGAUAUCACGCAGAACUCCGAUUGCGAAGGCAGCAUACCGGCGCCCGACUGACGCUGAGGCACGAAAGCGUGGGGAUCGAACAGGAUUAGAUACCCUGGUAGUCCACGCAGUAAACGAUGAAUGCUAGUUGUCCGGUUCUUUGGGACUGGGUGAC
RNAcentral lists this ribosomal RNA (804 nucleotides) under uncultured bacterium. RNAcentral's name for it is "bacterial SSU rRNA". It matches the Rfam family "Bacterial small subunit ribosomal RNA", at positions 57 to 847 of the family's 1533-position model. The record is from RNAcentral.